GUGGGGAAUUUUGGACAAUGGGCGCAAGCCUGAUCCAGCAAUGCCGCGUGCAGGAAGAAGGCCUUCGGGUUGUAAACUGCUUUUGUACGGAACGAAACGGUCCGGGUUAAUACCCUGGGCUAAUGACGGUACCGUAAGAAUAAGCACCGGCUAACUACGUGCCAGCAGCCGCGGUAAUACGUAGGGUGCAAGCGUUAAUCGGAAUUACUGGGCGUAAAGCGUGAGCAGGCGGUUUUGUAAGACAGGCGUGAAAUCCCCGGGCUCAACCUGGGAAUUGCGCUUGUGACUGCAAGGCUGGAGUGCGGCAGAGGGGGAUGGAAUUCCGCGUGUAGCAGUGAAAUGCGUAGAUAUGCGGAGGAACACCGAUGGCGAAGGCAAUCCCCUGGACCUGUACUGACGCUCAUGCACGAAAGCGUGGGGAGCAAACAGGAUUAGAUACCCCGGUAGUCC
Molecule: ribosomal RNA, 450 nt
Filed under: uncultured bacterium
Lineage: Bacteria
Description: partial 16S ribosomal RNA
Rfam family: Bacterial small subunit ribosomal RNA
Source: RNAcentral